RNAcentral lists this transfer RNA (72 nucleotides) under Prototroctes maraena (Australian grayling). RNAcentral's name for it is "tRNA-Asp". It matches the Rfam family "tRNA". Rfam says of the family: Transfer RNA (tRNA) molecules are approximately 80 nucleotides in length. Lineage: Eukaryota; Metazoa; Chordata; Actinopteri; Osmeriformes; Retropinnidae. The record is from RNAcentral.
AAGGUACUAGUUAAAUUUUUAUAACAUUGCUUUGUCAAGGCAAAAUUGUGGGUUAGACCCCUGCGUAUCUUG